RNAcentral lists this transfer RNA (72 nucleotides) under uncultured Cytophagales bacterium. RNAcentral's name for it is "tRNA-Ile-GAT". It matches the Rfam family "tRNA". Rfam says of the family: Transfer RNA (tRNA) molecules are approximately 80 nucleotides in length. Their secondary structure includes four short double-helical elements and three loops (D, anti-codon, and T loops). The record is from RNAcentral. Lineage: Bacteria; Pseudomonadati; Bacteroidota; Sphingobacteriia; Sphingobacteriales.
UGUCUCGUAGCUCAGCGGUAGAGCAGUGCCCUGAUACGGCACCGGGCGGAGGUUCGAUCCCUCCCGAGACAA